AAGACACUUGCGUAUUUUAAUUUUUUCAGAAUAUUAGAAGUUUCAUUAGUAAGAAUACUGAGAGUUUUUUUUUUGUUGUUGAAAAAAGGGAAGUGAUGAAGUGAAAACCCGGAUUUGCCCCUUAAUCACCUCUAGUUUUGUGGUGGUCGGGGUGGGGGUUGGUGCCGGAGAUCGGAAAAAACUGAAAACAGGUUGCAAUGUGGUGGCGGUUUAUUUAAUCAGGUUGUGGGUGCAUUGGGUUUUUGGUUAAUUUGGGUUUGUUGAUGAUACCAAUGCAUGUGAGGGGAAAUGGAGUUUCGGAUAAGAAGAAGAUGAUGCCUAUUCUUGGGAUCUGCAUGUGGGGGAACCAUAAGAUCUCAGUAUUGGAUUGGUUUUGCUCUCCAAGAGAGGAUGUCUAUAUUUAUUCUUUCUUCUGGUUUAUGAUUAGCGUUGGUGCUGAAAUAAUGAUUUAAUAUAGUAAAUGGGCUGAAGACGACUUGCUCAAUGUUGAGGACGUUAGCAUCAGCUUUGUUGGUU
This 516-nucleotide unclassified non-coding RNA is filed under the name Hevea brasiliensis (rubber tree). Lineage: Eukaryota; Viridiplantae; Streptophyta; Magnoliopsida; Malpighiales; Euphorbiaceae. The record is from RNAcentral.